This 489-nucleotide ribosomal RNA is filed under the name uncultured Marinomonas sp. RNAcentral's name for it is "bacterial SSU rRNA". It matches the Rfam family "Bacterial small subunit ribosomal RNA", at positions 30 to 506 of the family's 1533-position model. The record is from RNAcentral. Lineage: Bacteria; Pseudomonadati; Pseudomonadota; Gammaproteobacteria; Oceanospirillales; Oceanospirillaceae.
AUUGAACGCUGGCGGCAGGCUUAACACAUGCAAGUCGAGCGGUAACAGGAAUUAGCUUGCUAAUUUGCUGACGAGCGGCGGACGGGUGAGUAACGCGUAGGAAUCUGCCUGGUAGUGGGGGACAACAUGUGGAAACGCAUGCUAAUACCGCAUACGCCCUACGGGGGAAAGGAGGGGAUCUUCGGACCUUUCGCUAUCAGAUGAGCCUGCGUGAGAUUAGCUAGUUGGUGGGGUAAAGGCUCACCAAGGCGACGAUCUCUAGCUGGUCUGAGAGGAUGAUCAGCCACACUGGGACUGAGACACGGCCCAGACUCCUACGGGAGGCAGCAGUGGGGAAUAUUGCACAAUGGGCGCAAGCCUGAUGCAGCCAUGCCGCGUGUGUGAAGAAGGCCUUCGGGUUGUAAAGCACUUUCAGUAAGGAGGAAAGGUUGGAUGUUAAUAGCAUUCAGCUGUGACGUUACUUACAGAAGAAGCACCGGCUAACUCCGU